GUGGGGAAUCUUAGACAAUGGGCGCAAGCCUGAUCUAGCCAUGCCGCGUGAGCGAUGAAGGCCUUAGGGUUGUAAAGCUCUUUCGCUGGGGAAGAUAAUGACUGUACCCAGUAAAGAAGCCCCGGCUAACUCCGUGCCAGCAGCCGCGGUAAUACGGAGGGGGCUAGCGUUGUUCGGAAUUACUGGGCGUAAAGCGCGCGUAGGCGGAUUGGAAAGUUGGGGGUGAAAUCCCGGGGCUCAACCUAGGAACUGCCUUCAAAACUCCCAGUCUUGAGUUCGAGAGAGGUGAGUGGAAUUCCGAGUGUAGAGGUGAAAUUCGUAGAUAUUCGGAGGAACACCAGUGGCGAAGGCGGCUCACUGGCUCGAUACUGACGCUGAGGUGCGAAAGCGUGGGGAGCAAACAGGAUUAGAUACCCUUGUAGUCC
This 425-nucleotide ribosomal RNA is filed under the name uncultured bacterium. RNAcentral describes it as "partial 16S ribosomal RNA". It matches the Rfam family "Bacterial small subunit ribosomal RNA", at positions 354 to 796 of the family's 1533-position model. The record is from RNAcentral.